This 253-nucleotide ribosomal RNA is filed under the name uncultured bacterium. Its description in RNAcentral is "partial 16S ribosomal RNA". It matches the Rfam family "Bacterial small subunit ribosomal RNA", at positions 524 to 776 of the family's 1533-position model. The record is from RNAcentral.
GACGAAGGUGGCGAGCGUUGUUCGGAAUCACUGGGCAUAAAGCGCACGUAGGCGGUGCCGUAAGUCGGAUGUGAAAUCCCUCGGCCUAACCGAGGAACUGCGUCCGGUACUGCGGUGCUUGAGGAUCAGAGGGGUGCAUGGAAUUUCCGGUGGAGCGGUGAAAUGCGUUGAUAUCGGAAGGAACUCCGGCGGCGAAAGCGAUGCACUGGCUGAUUUCUGACGCUGAGGUGCGAAAGCCAGGGGAGCAAACGGG